GAUGAACGCUAGCUACAGGCUUAACACAUGCAAGUCGAGGGGCAGCAUGGUCUUAGCUUGCUAAGGCCGAUGGCGACCGGCGCACGGGUGAGUAACACGUAUCCAACCUGCCGUCUACUCUUGGACAGCCUUCUGAAAGGAAGAUUAAUACAAGAUGGCAUCAUGAGUCCACAUGUUCACAUGAUUAAAGGUAUUCCGGUAGACGAUGGGGAUGCGUUCCAUUAGAUAGUAGGCGGGGUAACGGCCCACCUAGUCUUCGAUGGAUAGGGGUUCUGAGAGGAAGGUCCCCCACAUUGGAACUGAGACACGGUCCAAACUCCUACGGGAGGCAGCAGUGAGGAAUAUUGGUCAAUGGGCGAGAGCCUGAACCAGCCAAGUAGCGUGAAGGAUGACUGCCCUAUGGGUUGUAAACUUCUUUUAUAAAGGAAUAAAGUCGGGUAUGGAUACCCGUUUGCAUGUACUUUAUGAAUAAGGAUCGGCUAACUCCGUGCCAGCAGCCGCGGUAAUACGGAGGAUCCGAGCGUUAUCCGGAUUUAUUGGGUUUAAAGGGAGCGUAGAUGGAUGUUUAAGUCAGUUGUGAAAGUUUGCGGCUCAACCGUAAAAUUGCAGUUGAUACUGGAUAUCUUGAGUGCAGUUGAGGCAGGCGGAAUUCGUGGUGCAGCGGUGAAAUGCUUAGAUAUCACGAAGAACUCCGAUUGCGAAGGCAGCCUGCUAAGCUGCAACUGACAUUGAGGCUCGAAAGUGUGGGUAUCAAACAGGAUUAGAUACCCUGGUAGUCCACACGGUAAACGAUGAAUACUCGCUGUUUGCGAUAUACAGCAAGCGGCCAAGCGAAAGCGUUAAGUAUUCCACCUGGGGAGUACGCCGGCAACGGUGAAACUCAAAGGAAUUGACGGGGGCCCGCACAAGCGGAGGAACAUGUGGUUUAAUUCGAUGAUACGCGAGGAACCUUACCCGGGCUUAAAUUGCAGAUGAAUUACGGUGAAAGCCGUAAGCCGCAAGGCAUCUGUGAAGGUGCUGCAUGGUUGUCGUCAGCUCGUGCCGUGAGGUGUCGGCUUAAGUGCCAUAACGAGCGCAACCCUUGUUGUCAGUUACUAACAGGUUCCGCUGAGGACUCUGACAAGACUGCCAUCGUAAGAUGUGAGGAAGGUGGGGAUGACGUCAAAUCAGCACGGCCCUUACGUCCGGGGCUACACACGUGUUACAAUGGGGGGUACAGAGGGCCGCUACCACGCGAGUGGAUGCCAAUCCCAAAAACCUCUCUCAGUUCGGACUGGAGUCUGCAACCCGACUCCACGAAGCUGGAUUCGCUAGUAAUCGCGCAUCAGCCACGGCGCGGUGAAUACGUUCCCGGGCCU
RNAcentral lists this ribosomal RNA (1358 nucleotides) under uncultured bacterium. RNAcentral's name for it is "bacterial SSU rRNA". It matches the Rfam family "Bacterial small subunit ribosomal RNA", at positions 28 to 1381 of the family's 1533-position model. The record is from RNAcentral.